GCGGAACUCCUUGAAGCCUCUCCCCACCAUGGACUGGGUCCCCUUUUACCUCCUGCCCUUCAUUUUCUCUACAGGUUUCUGUGCUUUGCCCGUGCUGACCCAGCCACCAAGUGCAUCUGCCUCCCUGGAAGCCUCAGUCAAGCUCACCUGCACUCUGAGCAGUGAGCACAGCAGUUACUAUAUUACCUGGUAUCAACAACAAGAACCAGGGAAGGCCCCUCGGUAUCUGAUGAAGGUUAACAGUGAUGGAAGCCACAGCAGGGGGGACGGGAUCCCCAGUCGCUUCUCAGGCUCCAGCUCUGGGGCUGACCGCUAUUUAACCAUCUCCAACAUCCAGUCUGAGGAUGAGGCAGAUUAUUACUGCUUUGCACCCGAUGAUAGCAGUAGUCACAGUGACACAGACAAAUGGGGAAGUUCUGGCUCCCAGGCCCUGUCACAGGCUCAGACCCCACAGGACCCUGUGCAUCACCCUGACCAUGACAUCUGCCCGGGGGAUACUGCAGGAGUGACAUACCUGACAUUAAGACCUAAAGUCUCUUGA
This is a non-coding RNA of Nyctereutes procyonoides (raccoon dog), 541 nucleotides long. NCBI's taxonomy places the organism in Eukaryota, Metazoa, Chordata, Mammalia, Carnivora, Canidae. The record is from the annotation of a RefSeq genome assembly.